GACGAACGCUGGCGGCGUGCUUAACACAUGCAAGUCGAACGGAAAGGCCCUGCUUUUGUGGGGUGCUCGAGUGGCGAACGGGUGAGUAACACGUGAGUAACCUGCCCUUGACUUUGGGAUAACUUCAGGAAACUGGGGCUAAUACCGGAUAGGAGCUCCUGCUGCAUGGUGGGGGUUGGAAAGUUUCGGCGGUUGGGGAUGGACUCGCGGCUUAUCAGCUUGUUGUUGGGGUAGUGGCUUACCAAGGCUUUGACGGGUAGCCGGCCUGGGAGGGUGACCGGCAAAAUUGGGACUGGGAUACGGCCAAGACUCCUACGGGAGGAAGAAGUGGGGAAUAUUGCAAAAUGGGCGGAAGCCUGAGGCAGCAACGCCGCGUGCGGGAUGACGGCCUUCGGGUUGUAAACCGCUUUCGCCUGUGACGAAGCGUGAGUGACGGUAAUGGGUAAAGAAGCACCGGCUAACUACGUG
This 468-nucleotide ribosomal RNA is filed under the name uncultured bacterium. RNAcentral's name for it is "partial 16S ribosomal RNA". It matches the Rfam family "Bacterial small subunit ribosomal RNA", at positions 28 to 507 of the family's 1533-position model. The record is from RNAcentral.